AACGCUGGCGGCGUGCCUAAUACAUGCAAGUCGAACGAGUUCUGAUUAUUGAAGGGUGCUUGCAUCUUGAUUUAAUUUUGAACGAGUGGCGGACGGGUGAGUAACACGUGGGUAACCUGCCCUUAAGUGGGGGAUAACAUUUGGAAACAGAUGCUAAUACCGCAUAAAUCCAAGAACCGCAUGGUUCUUGGCUGAAAGAUGGCGUAAGCUAUCGCUUUUGGAUGGACCCGCGGCGUAUUAGCUAGUUGGUGAGGUAACGGCUCACCAAGGCAAUGAUACGUAGCCGAACUGAGAGGUUGAUCGGCCACAUUGGGACUGAGACACGGCCCAAACUCCUACGGGAGGCAGCAGUAGGGAAUCUUCCACAAUGGACGCAAGUCUGAUGGAGCAACGCCGCGUGAGUGAAGAAGGCUUUCGGGUCGUAAAACUCUGUUGUUGGAGAAGAAUGGUCGGCAGAGUAACUGUUGUCGGCGUGACGGUAUCCAACCAGAAAGCCACGGCUAACUACGUGCCAGCAGCCGC
RNAcentral lists this ribosomal RNA (522 nucleotides) under Lacticaseibacillus rhamnosus. Its description in RNAcentral is "bacterial SSU rRNA". It matches the Rfam family "Bacterial small subunit ribosomal RNA", at positions 32 to 518 of the family's 1533-position model. The record is from RNAcentral. Lineage: Bacteria; Bacillati; Bacillota; Bacilli; Lactobacillales; Lactobacillaceae.